Molecule: long non-coding RNA, 9480 nt
Filed under: Nicotiana tabacum (common tobacco)
Lineage: Eukaryota; Viridiplantae; Streptophyta; Magnoliopsida; Solanales; Solanaceae
Description: long non-coding RNA (NTAB_LNC018709)
Source: RNAcentral
GCUAAACGGAGUUUACUCCAAAAUGGUAUUUCAGUGUCCAAAAGUACAGUUUCAAGUUCAUUACUUGAUUCAAAAUUGUGGGUUUCAGAUAAUUGGGGUGACAAAUUAGAUGUUCCAUUGUUUUCUAAAAAUGGCUGGUAAAUGUUGUUUUUAGAAGAAUCCAUAGAUUCCAGUGAGUGGAAAGUGGAAAGAGAAAGUUGAAAAGAAUGUAAAGAGAAUUGAAAUGCAGUGUUCUAUUGAUGUGUAUUUAUAUAGAGAUAAAAAAUAAAAAUAAAAAACAAACGUCAGUGCUUAUGUGGAUGAGAAAUUGAGAUUGAGAGUAGUACAAGCGGCCACCACUAGAAGUUUUCAAUUUGGCUACAUAAAGUCAUAAAAUAAUUGAAGAUUAGCGUUCUAAUUCUGCUAGUCAAUUUUUUAUGAUUAUCGAUGUGAAGUUUUUGGAUUUUAUAAUCUACUUUUUCAGUUUAUAUAAUAGUAUUCUUUAUUAAUCCGUCCUAAAAGAUAAUAAUUUAUUAAAUUUGUAAAUAAUUUAAUUUUAAAAAGGAACCUAUCGAUUCGGUUAUAGUGCCGGUUACUUUUCAUUUUAUUAUUAACGAUAAACUUUUAUAGUUACACAAAUAUUAUUACAUGUUUAAAAUUAUAAGUUUUAAAAAUUUUAUAGUCAUACAAAUGUUAUGAUAUAUUUAAAAUAAUAAUUUCGAAAAAAAUUUCUUUCUGAAACUAUGUGCUCAAUCAAACUAGUCACAUAAAUUAAAAUGAAUGAGUAAAAUCAAUUUAUCGAAGUGAAAUAAUUUUGUGAAGUUCACAAAAUAAAUGUUAUCUACCAGAAGUGGUCUUACCUACUAAUUGAAUAUAUGCAGUUUAAGUGUGUUUUAAUACUAGGUAAAUUCGAAAUCUGCUUAGGUCUAAGUUCAAGUGUGUCUUUUUCAUAUUUUACAUCUUGGGUUAUCCGUCAUGUAUGUCACAUAAUAUUAUCUUCUUGGUUUUUGUUUUAGAUGUUUAUGCUAAGUUACAUAGUACAUUUUUUAAUAAUUUAGAAUAUACUGAUUUAAUAUUUUAUUAUGUAAAUUGGUUAUUUAAUUUACUUAGAUAUUUUAAUUAAUUGUUAUUAAAAUCUUUUAUUUUGAAUGUUAUUCCUACCUAGCGUUUGGAGCUAACCAUCUGACCUACUAUAGGUAAAAUAUUCCACCUCACCCUCUCCACAACCACACACCAAAAAGAAAACAGAGAGACAUUGGAAUCUCAAAAUUUGGUGGUUAUUGCCUUAAUUGGACGGUUCGGAUUCUUUAAUUUGAUGCUACACUUUUUAAAGCAAGAGCGGGGAUAUAUUACUUAAAAUUUGUGAUUGAACUUUUUGUAGAAAUAACGAAGGUUACAUUAUUAGUUAAUUUCAUAGUAUUGAUUUUGACCUAAUAGAAUAAGGUCUACAGUGUAUAAUUCAAACUUUGAAGUACAAAUCAAAAUCCUAAGUUGAAGGUGUCAUUAGAAAUUAAAGAUGGUUAACAACUCUCCUCACAAGGACGAGAACAGUUUCUUUCUUUCUUCUUCUACUUAUGAAUUAUUGGGUGGUUUCGUUACCAAGUGGAAUAGACAAGGUUAUGUGAUAGGCUGAGAUAUCUCAGGUGAAUAGCUAUUCGAGCUUUUAUUUGGGAUAGUUAAUCUAACCAUUUUGAUUUAAAAUUUAUCUUAACAUUAGCUAACUAAUGUCAUAAUUAAAUAUGGAAUAAAUAUAAUUUCGUAUUCUAUUUUGAGAUUAUUAUUCUUAUUCCGGUAAUAACGACCCCCGAAAGUUAUAUCAUGAUCAUUUUUAUCAUUCAUGGGACAGUUCAGCGGUUAAGAGCCAAAAUCAGUGUCACGAAUUUGAAAACUAAUCGAAAAAAUUACUUAAGUAGUAAUUUUUUUGGGGGUUCCAUUCGGUGUUUGAUAUUUUUAUAAAAUUUCAUUAAAUAGGAUUCGUGUCGAAAAGUUUCACACCGUGAGCAAGACGCUCCAUAACAAAGGUAAUUCUAUGCCCGAGACUCGACCGAAACCUCCAAUUAAAAAUGAAGCGCAAACCUUGGUUGUUCUCGAAAAGAUAGUUGAUGUGAACGUUUGCCAAUCUUAUAAGAACAAUAAAUGAAGAUAGUACUUAUCUCCCUUUCGCAUGACAACACCAAAUUUAUUAUCUCACACUAAAUUUAGUGAAGGAAAGAUGUUUUUUUACUUUUGAAUUUUUAAAUCAAGAUUAUUUGUUUUAAGGGGAUUUGAGUAGUUCCUAAAGAAAAAAAAAUUGUCAUUAGGGGUUGGUUGGGUUGGUUCGGAUUUUUCAAUUACCAAACCAAAAUAAUAGUGUCGGGUUUUUAAAUUUAUAAACCAAACCAAACCAAUAAAGUCGGGGUUUUCAGGUUUUUUCCGGUUAAAGUNNNNNNNNNNNNNNNNNNNNNNNNNUGUCUUAGUUCUGCAGCACAAUAAUAUAAUUACUGAUUAGUACUCCAUAUUAAUCAUUACGAUCGUGCAUUUUUAAGUACAUUUUCCAUAAGAUUUUAGUCAGUUUUAAUCAUUUUAAAAGACCACCAAUUAUUUUCGUAGAAAUGAUAUUAGGUAGCCAUUUUAAAGGACUGCUAUUUAAUAAUUAGUCAGUGCGUUCUGAAUUUUAAUUUUUCAAUUUAAAUAUUCGGGACAAAAAAUAUCCUGAAUUAUCCUAAAGUUAAGAUCUUUAGUUUAAAAUUUCAGGACAAAGUAAGUACUGACUAAUCUCUAAUUAGCAUCCACGAGAAUAAUUAUAAGUGCACUUGUCCCACUAUUUUCCCAUAGCAGCCAAUGAGACCACCACUAUUACAGCUAGAUUAUUUAUUAAAAAGACAGUACACCUGUAUAUACUUUGUGAUUUAAAUUAUAACAUAUUGAUAUAUAAUAGUACAAAAAAAUUCUACUAUCACGAAACUUUAAAUUGUUAUAAUAAAUUAAUACAUUGUGUAGAUUAAUAAGUUACUGUAUACACUUACAUAUAGCUAGCUUUAUGUGAUCUAAUCGUGUAAUUAUUUUCUAUACAGCGUGCUUAAAAUCUAAACUUGUUUCUUGUUAGUAUGUACAUUAAUAUUUUUUCGUUAGGAGAACUACUGUAGUGUUUGAACAUAUCAAUAACUUAAACUUAGGAGUGUGAUUGGCACCCCCUUAACAAAAAUUUCACUAUAUCACCCCUAAUUAUUAUUAUAAAAACUAACUUUGGCUAUUAUCAAUUCAAAUUGUUGGAAAAUGAUAAGGGUAGAACAGGUUUAAAAUAGUAAAUUAUCCAUUCAUUUUCCAAACUAGACAAGUAAAAGGAGACAUUUAUUUUUAGUACAGUGAUCAAGUAAAUUUGGACGCAUGAGUAGGAAAAAACUAUAGCCUUCGUGCCUAUUCUUAUGCCUACACUAAGAUAAUAUUUAGGACAUUGCUAUUUAUUUUUGCGCCGAAGGAAUUUGUACUUACUAUAAAACAACAACAACAACAACAACAACAACCCAGUAUAAUUUUACUAGUGGGGUUUGGGGAGGGUAGUGUGUAUGCAAACUUUACCCCUACUCUUGGGCAACAACAACAAUAACGACAACAACAACCCAGCAUAAUCCCACUAGUGGGGUUUGGAGAGGGUAAUGUGUACGCAAACUUUACCCCUACCUUAGGGUAGAGAUGUUGUUUCCGAUAGACCCUCGGCUCCCUCCCUCCAAGAACUCCCCACCUUGCUCUUGGGAUGACUCGAACCCACAACCUCUUGAUUGAAAAUGGAGAAUUUUCACCACUAGAACAACUUACUCUUGUCAAAUCUUACUAUAAAACCUGUAGAGUAUUCUGAUUAAUUACAUUUUCGGUGGAAGUAGGUAAAGUAAAUGUCAAUAGUUGUUGCAUUUAUACUAGAGGGCGCAAUAUAGUAUUCACUACAUUCACUUUUACUUGACAUGUAUACUAAAAAUAGACUAUUAUUUUUACUUGUCACUUUACGUAUAUCAAGAGAAUGACAAAAAAAAAUCUUGUUAUACCCACAGUAUUUAUUACUCAUUUUAAAUCAUUUUCUCAAAUCCAACAAAAUAUGCAUCAAUUAAUAUAGGUAUCAUGGUAAAUUAUGCAUUUCAUUUAUUAUUUUUUAAGGGACGUGAAAGGUCAAAACGUGUAAAAGUGAACGGAGGAGUAAUAAAUUGUCUUUAUAAAAUCAGAUUACGAUAAAAUUAAAUGUUUGUGACAUCAAUUUCCGGACCUUCUGCUAUAUAACGCCAUUAUGGAAUGGCAAGAAGAUUGAUAACAAACAUUUGUUAAUGAGUUAAAAAAAAGGGCCUGAUUUUUGUGCAUAUUUAAUUCAUAAUCAAUUUUGUCAUAAUUAACCAAAGUAAAGCUAAAAAAGUUUUGUAUCAGAUAUUUAUAUUAAACCAUAUCAAUUUUUUCAUAAUUAAGCAAUAAUUAAAGUAAAAAUAUGUAUACCAUUUAUUAAUUAUGGUCUAGUGAUCAUAGACGGAUCUAAGAUUUUAAUUUAGGUUUAAGAUUUCGACUUCAAUCAUUACACCCAUCACCUUGAAUACGUAACUAAUAAGUGGAUUCACCCUUGCUAGUGAUAACUAUAUCCGUAAAAAUAUGUGUUGUGAACAGGAAUAAUUUAGAUAAUACUUGUGGGCCAGUUGUUUGGAAGGUUGGCCAAGCUGUUUGGCCAAGGGCUAGACCACAAAGAAGUCCAAGGACAAGACAACCCAACAAGAGAUCCGUUUGUGAUCCAGGUGGAGUAGGGAAAGACGCGGCAAAGGUUUAAAAGGAGAGUGGCCUACGGCUUCAGGAAUUAUGCGUAUUGUUGAGUAAAAUAUCUACUUCUCCUCAUCUUCCUUCUCGAGUGUUUGUAUCCUCUCAUCCCCAUUCUUAGUAUGAGCUUCUCAUCCCUUAUUCUCUAUCAUUUGUAUUUAUGUUUAGCAUCUCUAUUUCCUAUAAUAGUUUUGAGUUGAGUUGUAAUUUCUUUCGAGGUUGAAGCAAUAGAAGUAUUGAAUAACUGGUUUGUUACAUUGGUGCUUUCAUCGUUCGUACUCCAACAAUAGUGGUGUUAGAUCGAUUCAGCGGUGGAAACCCAGAGGGUAGGAUUUUUCGGGUUGAGUUGUACUUCACCUACCUUGGCUUCUCCGAGAAAGACUUGUUACCUCUUCCUUGCCACUACCUUGACGACGAAGCACUUGCUUGGUUUGAUUGGCUAUUUCGAAAUAAGCAACUUUUUGAUUGUUUCCAUUUUAAGGAGAAACUGAAGCUGUGUUUUCGCACUCGGACUAGAGAAGCAUUUGGUGGGUGAUUAGCCGUUCACCAGCAGCGAUAGCUAGAGGAAAAUUUUGUAGCACGAGCUGCGGCUAUUCCAUCACGGUGCAACAUUAGCACCUCACUCUCGCCUCAGUAUUGGAAUAAACACUUAGACAUCAACAACCUUAACUUAACAUACGAGGUGCUCGAGAAAAUGGCGGAUAAGGCAACUAGCACCUUACAAGAUGAUGAAGUGGAUGUUGAACCUAGUGCGUUACCAGAAAAGCAUAUUGAUGUCGAUUCCAUGUACGGUAUCGCUGAUGGAAGUCAUAUUGAAGUUGAAUUCUUACAGAGCUAUAAGUUGGUAAUGAAUUGAUGACUAAGAAGGUGGAAUUAUCAGAAGAAGGCCAUGUGUUCGACAAAAUGUCUAAUAAUUGCUGCUCCACGGUACUCGCUGAUGAAUCUGAUUUAGAAGAUGGCGAUUCUGAGGAAGACAAGGUGCCUGAUAGACAUCCCAGACGAACCAUUGACAAGAACUAAGUCUCUCCAACUGAUGUGGCAAUUGCUUGCAAUAAUGAAGCUGAAACGAACACAACUAAUUUCUGGUACCUUUGAUUAGUAGAGAGGAUGUAGUGCCGAAAGAGAUUGCGAGCACUAGUGAAGUCACACAUCCAUUUAAAAAUAUCUUACCGCUUCACAUUCACAAGAGUCUAUGUCUGUAAAAACAAUUAUAAGAAUUUUAUGAUGGCAAAUGAAGUUUCAGAUAUUGAGAGGUAUGUUUCUGAUGAAAUUUUAUUUGUUGGAUAUGAAGAACUAGCGUGGGAUGAAGAGUUUGCGUUAAUAAUUAAGCAUCCAUCACUAUGUCAUUUUCGGCUUGUAGUUUUUGGUUGCAUAAUACUGUAUCGCCAUACUACUUUACCCUAUAAAAUGUUGGCUAUAGAUUUGAAUUUGGUACACUCAUUAUCUGUUCAUGUUGGACUCUUCAUAUCGACUUCAUCUACCAUGGUUCACUUAUCUCAAGCUCCAAUGGUACAGGGUCAUCACGUGGUACUGAGUUGUCUCAACGACGAGAAAUCUUUGAAUUGGGUUUUACAAGUAAAGAGAUAUUCUUAUUCCUACUCCAUAUCUAAUGAUUUUAAACUUCCUCUCACGUCCGUUUAUCUAGAUGGCAAUGUGCAAGUUAAAGGCUCAAAGAAUGCGGUUCAACUGAAGCUAUUUGCUACUAGCCUAUUCAAGGGAGCUACAAAUAUCAAAGAGGAAAUGGCUCCAGCAGAUUUUUGCCCAAUCUUACAGAAUCUUACUCAUAGGAUGGAUUCGGAACAUCUAGGGAAAGUUCUAUUGAAUAAUUUGGAGUUUAUUAUUAGGUCUCGAGUUCUAAGUCUUCGGACUCUUAUCAACCAACCUAUAACUGAGCUUGAAAUUGAGUUGAGCUUUCUUGGGAAACACAUUAUCAUGGCACCAAGGAUAAACUCCGUGAUCUUAACUCAAAAAAAUUAUCUAGAGUAUGUGGCUUCUAGCUUUAUGACUCAAGUGUGGGAUACUGGACGGCAAUGGUGUAUGCAUUCUUCCAUUUUGCUAUCUGAUUUUGUAUUGGAAAAAGAUGUUUCAGAUACAUUGCAACUGAAGCUUCUUACAUCACUCUUGUUUGGCCCAAUGAGUGAGGAAUAUGCAUUUUCUUCCUGUUCUUCACUCUCUAGCAACCAAGUCGUGUUAAUGAAUUUCUCUCGUACUAGAACGAGAGUGUUUUAUCCACAAACCUGUCCAUAUUACAAAUAUUCCUUGUACUAUUUUAUAGAUAAUUUUAAUCUUUGCAAUGCCUUUUCGAAUGUUUUCGAUGAGGCAGGACCUCCACGAGUGCUACCAGUUCAAUCCUUACAGACGAAGAUCGCAAAAUAUUUGUGUAGUUUGUGGAUGCGGUCAAGGAAAUCCAAUAGGAUGACAAUAUUGCAACAUGAGAGAAAGCCACAUCUUACCAUAAGUCUUGCUGUAAUUGUACAAUCACUAUGGUCAUUGUUGUAAUUAAUUUUCAACUAUGUGGACCUAAUUGGUUAUCACGAGCCUGUAGUUUGUCAAGUGGCAGAAGAAGAGCUUUAUAAUUGUGGAGUGAUAUUCUUUAGUUUACUGAUCUUAACUGUAGUAAUCAAAGCAUUUCAACAGAAACACAAAUUAACGGUACUCACAGACUGUUCGAUGGAGAUGGUUGAAUUUAUUAAACGCGAAGGUAAUCCACUUGUCUCUUAUUAUGCUGGCAUUCUAGGAGUAAUAUUGCCUUGUCUAUCCGCUAAGCUAGCACAUCUGGUGCUUGACGUGCAUGCGAGUAUAGUUGAAGAUCACUUUGUAGUUGGUGAUUGUAUUUUUGUCAAACUUCCUACUUAUUGACAACACUCUGUGAGAUUAUAACAAUAUCAUCAAUUGGGAAGGCAAUACUUUGAUCCUUUUAAAGUGCUUCAGCAUAUUUGGGUUGUUGCCUUUAAAUUUGAACUUUUCAAAGCUGAACGAAUAUAUCCUAUUUCUCGCAUAUCUACGCUCAAAUGUUACAAUAACUAGCCUAACUAACAGAACGUGCUACUGUAGAACCUUGAGGGCAAGGUUCUCAAUUCAGGGGGGAGUAUUGUUGUGAACAAGAAUAAUUUAGAUAAUACUUGUGGGCAAGUUGUUUGGAAGGUUGGCCAAGCUGUUGGGCCAAGGGCUAGACCACAAAGAAGCCCAAGGACAAGACAACCCAACAAGAGAUCCGUUUGGGAUCCAGGUGGAGUAGGAAAGAUGUAACAAAGGUUUAAAAGGAGAGUGGCCUACGGCUUCAGGAAUUAUGCGUAUUGUUGAGUAAAAUGUCUGCUUCUCCUCAUCUUCCUUCUCGGGUGUCUGUAUCCUCUCAUCCUCAUUCUUAGUCUGAGCUUCUCGUCCCUUCUUCUCUAUCAUUUGUAUUUAUGUUUAGCAUCUCUAAUUCUUGUAAUAAUUUUGAGUUGAGUUGUAAUUUUCUUUCGAGGUUGAAGCAAUAGAAGUAUCGAAUAACUGGUUUGUUACAAUAUGUGUUAUUUAUUUAUUGAAUUAAUAUAAAUAUCCAAGAUAAUUAAUGAGUAUUGCUCCUUGAUAUUUUUGGGGAUGCAUUUAAAAGCGUCCAGUUUGAAAUGAAUGCUUGGUAUGGCCAAGAUUUGAUUCGAUUCGAUUCAUAUCUUGACCAAAAAUCUAACAUCGACCUCAUAAUUUCUUAUCCAAUAAUAAAUUGGUCAAGUUGUUGCAAAUUGUAAUGAUAGCUCUUUGCCUCUUUGUUCAACCCUUUUUGCCUGUUUUUCCUCUUACCCUUUUUUCAAAAGUUUAAGGGAGAAAUAGUGUAUUCAUUUAUUUUUAUUCUUUUUGGAAGUUUUUAGGAUUGGGACCGAGUCAUGAAUAGUAUGGUUGAGAAGAAUAAAAAUGGUUUUAAGUGAAAUUAGAUUGAUGCACUUAGGUGACAUAAAGUGAAGUUCUCACCAAUAGACUGAAACUCUUAAUUCGUAAGAACCAUCUGCUAUGAGUUCAGGGUCGGUCGAUUGAUGGUAUUUGAAUAAUUAAUAUCAACAUAAAAUUCUACAUAAUAUAAUAAAGUGUUUAGCUGGUUGUUUAAGAAAAAUUAAUUGACGCUUAACUAGUGUUGCAUUUGGUUGGCAGUAUAAAAAUAAUAUCCACCUUAAAUUAUGUGAAAAUUGAUAUAUUAUUUUAUGGGAAUAGAACGUAAAAUAAAAAUACAUAUAUUAGCAAUGUAGGAAUUAAAUUAUUUAAAAAUAAAUAGUAUGUACUUUUAAAGUAAGUAACUCAUAUGUAAACAAUCAUGAAACUUAUAUGUAGUAAUCUACUCAUGAUUAUUCAUUGCAUAACAAUAGUUCCUUUAGUAAUAAUUAUCCGAUAAAUAAUCUUUGCAUUAUAAUUCCCGCAUAACUAUUAUAGGUGGCGAGAAAUUUCUAAGAAUAAAAAAAGCUUCCAAUUCCUAAGAGAGAAAAAGCAUUCAGUUUCUUUUUAAAAAAUGGGACCAUUUACUUUUUUGAAUGUAACAAAAAGAGGCAAAUGAACUCUACCUUGACAGGAAGUUGAAGCGCAGAGACUACAAAGUCUGCAGUUUAGGGAUUAUUACUUGAUUCAAAAUUGUGGGAUUCAUAUAACUGAGGUGACAAAUUAGAUGUUCCAUUGUUUUCUAAAAAUGGCUGGUAAGUGUUGUUUUUAAUAGAAUCCAUAGAUUCCAGUGAGUGGAAAGUGGAAAGAGAAAGUUGAAAAGAAUGUAAAGAG